RNAcentral lists this long non-coding RNA (7515 nucleotides) under Homo sapiens (human). RNAcentral describes it as "HSALNT0034057". Lineage: Eukaryota; Metazoa; Chordata; Mammalia; Primates; Hominidae. The record is from RNAcentral.
AGCACCCACUAAGUCAUAACAUGAAAUUUCAGAACACCUGAGAUAAAGAUCCUAAAGCUGCCAGAGAGGAAAAUUACAGGUCACAAAUAAAAGCUCUGCAGUCAGGAUAGCACAGGAUUUCAACAGCAGAGAUGAAAUCUAGAACAACAAUGAAUUAAUGCAUUUAAAACUGCUUACCUACAAUUCCACGAUCAAACUAUCAAAGGAGUGAAAGAGUAAAAUAAACCCAUUUCACUCAGGCAAAGGUCUUGAAAAGUUUAUAUCCCAAUGACCUUCCCUGGGAUGCUGAAAGAUAUACUCCACCCAACAGGAAAGUAAACCAAAAAGCAGCAGCUAUGGGAUCCAGGAGACAGGAGAGGAAGAAAUGACCAGGGUGAAGGUAAAGAGAAAUCCCAGGGCAGAAGCUAUGCCUGAGGUCUAGAGAAUAACCAACGUGCAGUGGCUCACGCCUGUAAUCCCAGCACUUUGGGAGGCCAAGGCGGGCAGAUCACUUGAGGUCAGGAUUUCGAGAUCAGCCUGGCCAACAUGGUGAAACCCACUCUCUACCAAAAAUUUAAAAAUUAGCUGGGUGUGGUGGUGCAUGCCUGUAAUCCUAGCUACUCAGGAGGCUGAGGUGGGAGGAUCGCUUGAACUCAGGAGGCGGAGGCUGCAGUGAGCCAAGAUCACACCACUGCACUCAAGCCUGGGCAACAGAGUGAGACCUUGUCUUCAAAAAAAAAAAAAAAAAAAAAAAAAAAGAAUAACCAAAGUGCCUGUUCUGGGCUGAGUUGUGUCACUCCAAAAGUCAUGUUAAAGUUCUAACCACAGUAUCUCAGUAUGUGACUGUAUUUGGAAAUGGGCCUUUAAACAGGUAAAUAAGUAAAAGUGAAGUCACUAGAGUGGGCCCCAAUCCAAUAUGACCAGCGUCCUUUUUCUUUUUCUUUUCUUUUAAAUUGAGGUCCCAUUCCAAUUAGCAUCUUUUUAAGGUAAGGAAAUUUAGACACAGAGAGACACAAAGGGAAGACCAUGUGAAGACACAGGAAGACGGCCAUUUACAAGACAAGAAGAGAGGCCUCUGAAGAAACCAACCCUGCUGACACCUUGCUCUUUCCAUCUCCAGAAUUGUGAGAAAAUUAAUUUCUCUUAUUUAAGCCACCCAGUCUGUGGUACUUUGCUAUGGCAGCCCUAGUAAACGAAUAUAGCACUGAACCCAGAACAAGGGAACCAGGAAAGAUUAAGAAAAAAAAAAAGAAUUUGAUGUAUAUACAAGAUUACAUAAUGCUAUCAGAGAUUUGGGGGAUGAAUUCAUCAUCAAUCCAUAGGAAAAGAGGCAAACAAAUGAAGUAAAAGUGAGGGGGGAAAAGUGGUCUGAGAAACACAAUCAUGGUACACUAUGGCUCAUGAUGAAUAUUUAGCUAGUAAAUAACAUGAACUUAGAUCGCUGACUUAACCAAAGGUUGAGAAACAACUGUGGUGUGGUGUGGGUGGAUAUUAUGAAAGAGCUAAAUUCUUAUCUACCAUAGGAGGAAAUCAACAGGUAAUAACACUAAUGGAAAAAUCAAGAAGUGGCGAUAUAAGCACAUUAUUUAAAUAUGGAGGCAAAUGCCAAUAAAUAAUGCAAAAAUACUUAAAGUGGCUGCCUUUGGGAAAUGAUAUCCAGGAGUAAGGUGGAAGACCGCCCCUUUUCAUGAUAAUCUCAGUGGAGCUAUUUGAAUUGUAAACAACUCAUAGGUGUUUAUGAAUAAUGAAAGAAUUUUAAAACCUAAGCAGACCACUAAAGACCUUUUUAUUAAAUUGUAUAUAUAUAUAUAUAUAUAUAUAUAUAUAUAUAUAUAUAUAUAUAUAUAUAAUUUUGAGACAGAGUCUCACUCCGUGGCCCAGGCUGGAGUGUGGUGGGGUGAUCUUGGCUCACUGCAACAUCCGCCUCCCAGGUUCAAGCAAUUCUCCUGCCUCAGCCUCCCAAGUAGCUGGGAUUAUAGGUGAGCGCCAUCACACCCAGCUAAUUUUUGUAUUUUUAGUACAGAUGGGGUUUUGCCAUGUUGGGCAGGCUGGUCUCGAACUCCUGAGCUCAGGUGAUCUUGGCCUCCCAAAGUGUUGGGAUUACAGGCGUAAGCCACUGCAUCCGGCCUAAAGACAUUUUUAAACAAAAGACUUGCUAGUCCUCUUAGCCAGACACAGAACAAGUGUGUUAAAUAAAUAAGACAUGAAACAUCUAAUGGUGACAAGAUUUUUUAACAGGCCAUGUUAACUGAAAUGAGGAGGACACAGAGGGGACAAUAGGGUCAGGAAACUUUUUUGAAGGUGUAGUGUUUAUAUGAUGGCACUUCUGCUGACAGCGUCCUCCUCAGAAGUUGCCUGCCCAGGGGCUCUUUAAAACAGACUAGGUGGAUUUCCAUGUCUGCCCCUGCUUGUUCUUUUUGCCUCGCCAGUUGUCUUGCUCCGAUUUCUUCCCAAGUGGGCUUUCAUGAUGUAUUCAUGAUGAGCCUUCAUGACGUACUCUACAAGACUAGCCUUUUAGCAAGAACUUUUAUAUCUCUGUUAAAUGUGACAAGCAGAGAAAAACUGUAUAGCCAUCACUUAGAUGAAAUAUAGCAAUGUGACCAAGCCUAUGUUACAAAAAUCAUGUAGGUUUUACUUAUUUUCCUUUCUCUUUGUCCUUAACUUCCUCCAGGCAGGACUGCUUGCAUGUAGUCAUUUUGGUAGAGGGUAGUCACUAAUAAGUGAUUAACUUCAUAUCCUAACCCCCAGGGGCGGCUUGCAAGAUUGAUGAACUUGUUUUUCUUGUAAAGAACAAUGAUCCCUGGGUCAUGCUGACCUCCUUGAUGGCACCCAGAAGUUUGAUUGGCCAAGGGAUGCAAGCAGCUUUGAUAAUCAGGGGAUCUCACUUCCCAUAUACCUACCUUACUCAUAAAAGCCACUGGUUACGUGCAAAGGGAGGCUGAAUUUGAGAAUUUGCCUCUCCCACCCUCAUGCUUUGGUCAAAUUGAAUAAACCUUUCUCUGCUCUGAAGCACCGAUGUGUCAGUGUUUGGCUUACUGCGCAUCAGGUACUUGAACCUAACUUUUGGGGUUCUGCAACAGAUUUUGGCAACCAUGCCAGGUCUAGCAUGGCAAUAGGCCCUGGCCAGGUUAGGCGAACGAGUGUCCCAGCAGCUGCCCAAGUGUGUUGGUCAGGGGGCCCUAAAGUCGCUCUUCUAGGUCAGUGUAGGCUGCUGUUGGUACUCUAGAAGCUUAGAGCAGAGAAACAUCUCAGACUGCUAUCUGGACUUCUGGUUUUGGUUUGAAGGGUAAGUCACUGCGGUGCACACAGCCAUAUCUCACUCUCUCUGCUUGCAUUGUGAAGAGGGCCCUUUUGGGGGAGUAAUAGAAUGGUGGACUAUGCCCAUUUUCUUGUUUGCUUUCCUGUAGGGAGUUUGGUUUUCUGUUUGUGAUUUUGUUUUGUUGUUGUUGUUGUUUGGUUUGGGGGGUGUGUGUGUGUGUAUCUGUGUGUGUGUGUGUGUGUGGUGUGUGUGUUAUGUGAAAAGACUGAACAGGGCAAAUUUGGAAUUGAUCCCAGAGAGUAGCAUCAUUGGCUGCAUUCUCCAGAAUUGGGCCACUUUCAGCUAUGAGCCCAUGAAGAAAAAUAAAAUUUUUUUAACUGUAACGCUGCUUGGCCUCAAUAUGCCUUAGAAUUUGGGAAAAAAUGGCUGACAAACAGUUCUUUAAGUUAUGCUACUAUAAUACAACUGCAACUAUUCUGUAAGAGCAGAGAAAAUAGGAUGCAAUCCUGUAUGUCCAGGCUUUUAUACUCUUUUAUCAGAAUGAACCUACUCAAAAGAGGUAUAAUUUGAUGCUGCAAAAGGAAAAACAGCCCAAACCUAAGGUUUUAGACUCCCACCAUUAGGUGGGGAAGACAGGGCACUGCUUGGUGCUUUGAAUCCCCUGAAUAAUCAUCCUGAUCCUCUGCCCCCCAGUCAGCUAUGGCUCCAGCACCUCCACCUCCUUAUGGGAUUGUCUGGAGCAGGAGGGGAACACUCCCAAACCUGUCCUCCCCAUGGAAUUAGGACAGGUUGUGGUCUCGCCUUCCUGCAACUGACAGGAAACCCAAUUUGGCCUGGGACCCACUGGUCCCUUAGUAGGGCAGUUUCCUCUGUGUCAAUUCCCCACUGUGGGACUUGAAUGGACAACAGUUUGGCAUGAUGUGGUUACAUUUCCUUUUCCCACUUUGGAGCUGUUCAGUGGGAAAACAAUAUCUUUGGAAAAACAAUAAUCCCCCCUAUCCCAACCCAAGCAAAUGGCUGGGCUAUUCUUGUCUAUAUUUCUGACCUACCACCCGACAAGGGCAGAUACUCACUUUGUUAAAGUGCUGCUCACAGCAGAAGAAAGGCAUGUAGUCACAGAAAAGGCUAGGGAAGAAGCAAAUCGGCUCCAUCUGGAGGCAGGAAACAAUCACCCCUGGCCAAUAGACUCAGUCCCUAACACAGAGACCAGGUGCGAUGUAAAUGGUGGGGCCUUUCCCACUUAGGACACUAUGAGAACCACAUCCUUGAAGGUUUGAGGAAAGGGGUUACUCAGGUUAAGAGCCUCAAUAAGGUACAGGAAGUACAGCGGCAAGCAUAUGAGGACCCUUUGUAAUUCCCAGAAAGACUCCAUCAGACAUGUGGAAAGUAGGUUGACGCUAACUAACCCUGAGGCACCGGACAAUCAGAGAAUGGUCAAUGUGACCUUUAUCAGCCACAGUGCCCUGAUAUUCAAAGAAAACUGCAAAAGGUAAAUGGGAUCCUUGGGUUGCCAAUCUCACAUUUAGUGGACUUAGCUUUUAAAGUGUACUAUGCUCAGGAUGAGGCUCAGGAAAGUGCAAAUUGAAGCAACAAGUAACUCACUGGCAGCUGUGCUUGACUACCAACCUAGGGGAAAAGGAAGAAAUCAAAGAGCGGCUCACGCCCCCUUCAGAAAAAAAACCAAUAUGCCUAUUGUAAGAAGGAGGGACACUGGAAAAAGGGCUGUCCCAAAUUGACCAAAGCAGCUAGCAAGUGCAGUGUCCCUCAAAAUCAGAUGAGGAGAGAGAAUAAUAUUUAGAUGAAGACUGAUGUGUCCCAGGGACUCCCUUAGACUUGGAGCAACCAGUGGCUAUAUCCCCACAGGAUUCCUAGAUACAACUGACAGUGGGGAACAGAAUGAUUGACUUUUUACUUGACACAGUGCCACAUAUUAAUUAAUUAACAAUUGUCUCUCUCCAGCUUUGGGAAAAACCAUUACUGUUACACGGAUAUUGGGAGACACCAUUAUCCCUUUCUACAAUCUUCAGGUUACCAUUUACGAGAGACCGGCCUAGGGCAUAGUUUCUUGUACAUGCUUAAUGCCCAGUGCCCCUCCUGGGCUGGGAUUUGCUUGCCAAAUUGUAUGCUCAACUUGUCUUUCCCCCCAGAUGCCUAGAUAUAAUGAUUCCUUCUGAACAAGUUUGCAGGUUUCAAAUACUCCUGCUGCAACCAGAAAACGAAGAGGUUCAGGACAUUCCAGAAGAAAUUCUCACACAGGAACAGGAAUACUCCUUGGCUGUGGAUUAUACUGCUGUGGCACUAUAUAUGUGGGAUUGCAAGAUCGCCCUUCUCAAGCUCCUGACACCCUGUUCAACAAUGUUACAACAAAAUUGCCUAAGUCCCGGGACAUGUGAAUAUUUUCAACUGCAGGUAAGUAAGUUCCAUUCCUCAGCCCCCUAGGAAUGCCCCUUGCCAGCGGGAAGUAGUUAGACUGAGUCAACACCCCAACUGAAGAUUGAGGAAAGGAACAGUGUCAGUGGGGAUACUGUAACCCAGCCUAUAUUAGAAAAAUCAUCAGGUGUUUAUUUUACUUAUUUUUCUUUCUCUGUCCUUAGCUUCCUCCAGGCAGGAUCGCUCGCACGUAGUCAUUUUGGUAGAGAGCAGUCACUAACAAGUGAUUAACUUUAUAUCCUAACCCCCAGGGGCUGCUUGCAAGAUUAACGUACUUGUUUUUCUUUUAAAGAACAAUGAUCCUUAGGUCAUACUGACCUCCCUGAUGGCAUCCAGAAAUUUGACUGGCCAAGGGACACGAGCAGCUUUGAUCAUCAGGGAAAGCCCCCAAUUACAUGCAAAGGAAGGUCAUAUUUGAGAAUCUGCUUCUCCCACCCUCAUACUUUGGCCAAAUUGAAUAAACCUUUCUAAGCAUUAAUGUGUCAGUGUUUGGCUUACUGUGCACCGGGUACAUGAACCUAACUUUUGGGGUUCUACAACAGCAACCUGACUGAGCUAAUCACGUACAGCCAAGAACAGCUGAGCUACAGUAGCUCCUUAAAAUCAGGGUCCAGAUGUUGUUCAUAGAUGAGAGAAGAGAAAAUAACUAUCACAUGCAGCAUCAGACAUUCAAUGACACAAAUCCUCAAAAUCAGAUGCUUUAAAAAAUGAAGCCAAUGGCUGGGCAUGGUGGCUCAUGCCUGUAAUCCCAGCACUUUGGGAGGCCAAGGCAGGAGGAUCGCUUGAGCUCAGGAGUUCAAGACCAACCUGGGCAACAAAGUGAGACCUUAUCUCUAUCAAAAAUUUAAAAAUAAAUUAAUUAAAAUAAUUUAAAAAUGAAGCCAGGUUGCUCAAGUAUUCAUCAAGUAUUUACUGAGGCUUACUAUGUGUUAUGAUGAUGAGACACUUCUUUGAGCCAUCAAAGGUUUCUGGCUUCCUCUGCAACUAAAAAUAAUUACCCUCCCCAAUGAAGGGUCUGUGUGUUCCACAGGUAUAGCAGCAGAAGAGACAACUUGGAAAAAGUGAAGGUAGGCCAGGCACAGUGGCUCAUGGCUAUAAUCCUAACACUUUGGGAGGCUGAGGUGAGUGGAUUCGCUUGAGCUAAGGAGUUUGAGACCAGCCUGGGCAACAUGGCAAAACCUGGUCUCUAUUAAAAAAAAUACAAAAAAUUGGCCAGGCAUUGUAGUCCACACCUGUAGUCUCAGCUACUAGGGAGGCUGAGGUGGGAGGAUCACUUCAGCCAGGAGGCAGAGGCUGCAGUGAGCCUAGAUGGCACCACUGCACUCCAGCCUGGGUGACAGAGCAAGACCCUGUCUCAAAAAAAAAAAAAAAAAAAAAGGUAAGCCACAACUCCACUUAAGAGGAGAGGCAACUGGAGAAAGAUCCCAGGAGGUUAUAUUCAACAACGGAGCAAUAACACAGUAGUCUUGCUAGACAUCCACAGCCUUUAAAUGGACAUAUUCUACUCUGUUUAUCACCUUUAUAAAAGUUUUCAAGUUUUCUGGAUAGUUCUACUCAGUUGAUGGCAAUUACCCUGCCAGGUAACUUACUCACUAUAAUUGAAUAAACCAGCAAUCUGGUUUAUCAGUCAGUCUCUCUUGCUCAAUUGACAAUCCCUAAAAGUUCAUCCAUUCCUGUGUGAGACCGUAUAUCUGACAAUUCAGUCAAAGGAAGUUGGUCAAAUCCCACAACUGACUGCCAAAGAAAGUAAUAUCUAAUCACAAAAAUACCACAAUUAAUUACAGGUAGUAACUAGGUUCUAAAGAAAUUAUCUCCUAAGUAGAUUUUAAUAUAAAUUUUGAACAGUU